GGGUUGUGAGGUUAAGCGACUAAGCGUACACGGUGGAUGCCCUGGCAGUCAGAGGCGAUGAAGGACGUGCUAAUCUGCGAUAAGCGUCGGUAAGGUGAUAUGAACCGUUAUAACCGGCGAUUUCCGAAUGGGGAAACCCAGUGUGAUUCGUCACACUAUCAUUAACUGAAUCCAUAGGUUAAUGAGGCGAACCGGGGGAACUGAAACAUCUAAGUACCCCGAGGAAAAGAAAUCAACCGAGAUUCCCCCAGUAGCGGCGAGCGAACGGGGAGCAGCCCAGAGCCUGAAUCAGUGUGUGUGUUAGUGGAAGCGUCUGGAAAGGCGCGCGAUACAGGGUGACAGCCCCGUACACAAAAAUGCACAUACUGUGAGCUCGAUGAGUAGGGCGGGACACGUGGUAUCCUGUCUGAAUAUGGGGGGACCAUCCUCCAAGGCUAAAUACUCCUGACUGACCGAUAGUGAACCAGUACCGUGAGGGAAAGGCGAAAAGAACCCCGGCGAGGGGAGUGAAAAAGAACCUGAAACCGUGUACGUACAAGCAGUGGGAGCACAGAGCAAUCUGUGUGACUGCGUACCUUUUGUAUAAUGGGUCAGCGACUUAUAUUCUGUAGCAAGGUUAACCGAAUAGGGGAGCCGAAGGGAAACCGAGUCUUAACUGGGCGUUAAGUUGCAGGGUAUAGACCCGAAACCCGGUGAUCUAGCCAUGGGCAGGUUGAAGGUUGGGUAACACUAACUGGAGGACCGAACCGACUAAUGUUGAAAAAUUAGCGGAUGACUUGUGGCUGGGGGUGAAAGGCCAAUCAAACCGGGAGAUAGCUGGUUCUCCCCGAAAGCUAUUUAGGUAGCGCCUCGUGAAUUCAUCUCCGGGGGUAGAGCACUGUUUCGGCAAGGGGGUCAUCCCGACUUACCAACCCGAUGCAAACUGCGAAUACCGGAGAAUGUUAUCACGGGAGACACACGGCGGGUGCUAACGUCCGUCGUGAAGAGGGAAACAACCCAGACCGCCAGCUAAGGUCCCAAAGUCAUGGUUAAGUGGGAAACGAUGUGGGAAGGCCCAGACAGCCAGGAUGUUGGCUUAGAAGCAGCCAUCAUUUAAAGAAAGCGUAAUAGCUCACUGGUCGAGUCGGCCUGCGCGGAAGAUGUAACGGGGCUAAACCAUGCACCGAAGCUGCGGCAGCGACGCUUAUGCGUUGUUGGGUAGGGGAGCGUUCUGUAAGCCUGCGAAGGUGUGCUGUGAGGCAUGCUGGAGGUAUCAGAAGUGCGAAUGCUGACAUAAGUAACGAUAAAGCGGGUGAAAAGCCCGCUCGCCGGAAGACCAAGGGUUCCUGUCCAACGUUAAUCGGGGCAGGGUGAGUCGACCCCUAAGGCGAGGCCGAAAGGCGUAGUCGAUGGGAAACAGGUUAAUAUUCCUGUACUUGGUGUUACUGCGAAGGGGGGACGGAGAAGGCUAUGUUGGCCGGGCGACGGUUGUCCCGGUUUAAGCGUGUAGGCUGGUUUUCCAGGCAAAUCCGGAAAAUCAAGGCUGAGGCGUGAUGACGAGGCACUACGGUGCUGAAGCAACAAAUGCCCUGCUUCCAGGAAAAGCCUCUAAGCAUCAGGUAACAUCAAAUCGUACCCCAAACCGACACAGGUGGUCAGGUAGAGAAUACCAAGGCGCUUGAGAGAACUCGGGUGAAGGAACUAGGCAAAAUGGUGCCGUAACUUCGGGAGAAGGCACGCUGAUAUGUAGGUGAAGUCCCUCGCGGAUGGAGCUGAAAUCAGUCGAAGAUACCAGCUGGCUGCAACUGUUUAUUAAAAACACAGCACUGUGCAAACACGAAAGUGGACGUAUACGGUGUGACGCCUGCCCGGUGCCGGAAGGUUAAUUGAUGGGGUCAGCGCAAGCGAAGCUCUUGAUCGAAGCCCCGGUAAACGGCGGCCGUAACUAUAACGGUCCUAAGGUAGCGAAAUUCCUUGUCGGGUAAGUUCCGACCUGCACGAAUGGCGUAAUGAUGGCCAGGCUGUCUCCACCCGAGACUCAGUGAAAUUGAACUCGCUGUGAAGAUGCAGUGUACCCGCGGCAAGACGGAAAGACCCCGUGAACCUUUACUAUAGCUUGACACUGAACAUUGAGCCUUGAUGUGUAGGAUAGGUGGGAGGCUUUGAAGUGUGGACGCCAGUCUGCAUGGAGCCGACCUUGAAAUACCACCCUUUAAUGUUUGAUGUUCUAACGUUGACCCGUAAUCCGGGUUGCGGACAGUGUCUGGUGGGUAGUUUGACUGGGGCGGUCUCCUCCUAAAGAGUAACGGAGGAGCACGAAGGUUGGCUAAUCCUGGUCGGACAUCAGGAGGUUAGUGCAAUGGCAUAAGCCAGCUUGACUGCGAGCGUGACGGCGCGAGCAGGUGCGAAAGCAGGUCAUAGUGAUCCGGUGGUUCUGAAUGGAAGGGCCAUCGCUCAACGGAUAAAAGGUACUCCGGGGAUAACAGGCUGAUACCGCCCAAGAGUUCAUAUCGACGGCGGUGUUUGGCACCUCGAUGUCGGCUCAUCACAUCCUGGGGCUGAAGUAGGUCCCAAGGGUAUGGCUGUUCGCCAUUUAAAGUGGUACGCGAGCUGGGUUUAGAACGUCGUGAGACAGUUCGGUCCCUAUCUGCCGUGGGCGCUGGAGAACUGAGGGGGGCUGCUCCUAGUACGAGAGGACCGGAGUGGACGCAUCACUGGUGUUCGGGUUGUCAUGCCAAUGGCACUGCCCGGUAGCUAAAUGCGGAAGAGAUAAGUGCUGAAAGCAUCUAAGCACGAAACUUGCCCCGAGAUGAGUUCUCCCUGACUCCUUGAGAGUCCUGAAGGAACGUUGAAGACGACGACGUUGAUAGGCCGG
Molecule: ribosomal RNA, 2854 nt
Filed under: Escherichia coli
Lineage: Bacteria; Pseudomonadati; Pseudomonadota; Gammaproteobacteria; Enterobacterales; Enterobacteriaceae
Description: partial 23S ribosomal RNA
Rfam family: Bacterial large subunit ribosomal RNA
Source: RNAcentral